Tachyglossus aculeatus (Australian echidna) is the source of this 782-nucleotide long non-coding RNA. RefSeq lists it as uncharacterized. The record is from RefSeq and is a predicted model, not a curated record. NCBI's taxonomy places the organism in Eukaryota, Metazoa, Chordata, Mammalia, Monotremata, Tachyglossidae. The transcript has 3 exons.
CACAUUGUCAAGCCGAGACUGAGUACUGUCCAACUCAUGAGAGAAGUCAUCUAACAUCCUGAAGAAACAGACAGGUAAACUAACAGCUCCCCACCGAUGCGCUGUGACAUGUUCUUCAGCACCCCAAUGCUGCCAGAGACCAGCUCCAACUGCUCAUCCUGCUGCUCCACAAUCAACUGGUGCCAAAGCCAAGGGAAACAAGCAAUUAAAACCCCUUCUACCUGGGCCGGAGCCCAGCACUCCAGCAGCUAAUGGCUCAUCUGCCAACUUCCAUCAUCGGAGUUCGAAAUCAAAAUCCAGAAACAAAGAGUAGAGCCUGGCCCUGUUUCUCCUAGAAAGGCACUGCUCCAAAAACUGCCUUCGCUAGGACCCAGAGCCUACAGCUCCCUCGCUCAGACCAGCUGGCAUACCUACCCCUACUGCUAUCCAGAGACUGCUAUCCAGAGAUGGGAGCAGCUACAGGAGAAGAUAAGUGAAAGAAGAGAAACAGCCCUUUAAUUGCCACCACCACCAUUAGCUAUGCUUGGGCAGAAUUCCCCACGUAGAUGUCACAGAGGCUGGCAUGAGAAAUUGGCCAACCUACAGCAAGGAGCCCAUCGCUAAAUGGAGCGGUAGCAUGAGACUACAGUCCCCACUGCCACCUCUUCCUCAAACUGGCUGAUUCGCAAUACCAACUCCUAGAGAAGUCACCACGGGAGCUCUGGUCAGCCACUGAUAAUAGCAACGCCAGCCGUGGCUGUUGUUCUUGCACCUAUCAUUUCCUGUGGCUCUGCAGCUGCUCA